GGGGCUAUAGCUCAGCUGGGAGAGCGCUUGCAUGGCAUGCAAGAGGUCAGCGGUUCGAUCCCGCUUAGCAAC
Molecule: transfer RNA, 72 nt
Filed under: Escherichia coli
Lineage: Bacteria; Pseudomonadati; Pseudomonadota; Gammaproteobacteria; Enterobacterales; Enterobacteriaceae
Description: tRNA-Ala
Rfam family: tRNA
About the family: Transfer RNA (tRNA) molecules are approximately 80 nucleotides in length. Their secondary structure includes four short double-helical elements and three loops (D, anti-codon, and T loops).
Source: RNAcentral